This 678-nucleotide ribosomal RNA is filed under the name Triticum aestivum (bread wheat). Its description in RNAcentral is "partial small subunit ribosomal RNA". Lineage: Eukaryota; Viridiplantae; Streptophyta; Magnoliopsida; Poales; Poaceae. The record is from RNAcentral.
AUGAAGCUUCAGGUAGCCACAGUCGCCUCCUUCGUCCUGGUGGCCUUGGCCGCGGCGGCCCAGGCCGUGACGUUCGACGCGUCGAACAAGGCGUCGGGCACCUCCGGCGGCCGGCGGUUCAACCAGGCCGUAGGCCUCCCAUACUCCAAGAAGGUCCUCUCUGACGCCUCCGCCUUCAUCUGGAAAACCUUCAACCAGCGCGCCGUCGGCGACCGCAAGACUGUCGAUGCCGUCACCCUCGUCGUCGAGGACAUCAGCGGCGUCGCCUUCACCAGCGCCAACGGCAUCCACCUCAGCGCCCAGUACGUCGGCGGCAUCUCCGGCGACGUCAAGAAGGAGGUGACCGGCGUGCUGUACCACGAGGCGACGCACGUGUGGCAGUGGAACGGGCAGGGCAGGGCGAACGGCGGGCUCAUCGAGGGGAUCGCCGACUACGUGCGGCUCAAGGCCGGGUUCGCGCCGGGGCACUGGGUGAAGCCGGGGCAGGGCGACCGGUGGGAUCAGGGGUACGACGUCACGGCGAGGUUCCUUGACUACUGCGACUCGCUCAAGCCCGGGUUCGUCGCGCAGCUCAACGCCAAGAUGAAGAGUGGGUACACCGACGACUUCUUCGCGCGGAUUCUCGGGAAGAACGUGCAGCAGCUGUGGAAGGACUACAAAGCCAAGUUUAGAGGCUGA